CUCCACCACCACCAUACUACUACCACUCUCCUCCUCCUCCAGUCAAAUCACCACCGCCACCGUACUACUACCACUCCCCGCCUCCUCCGGUGAAAUCCCCACCACCACCAUAUUACUACCACUCACCACCUCCACCGGUGAAAUCUCCACCACCACCAUACUAUUACCACUCACCACCUCCUCCGGUGAAGUCUCCUCCACCACCAUACUACUAUCACUCUCCACCACCACCGGUGAAAUCUCCUCCUCCUUACUAUUAUCAUUCUCCACCUCCUCCGGUGAAAUCUCCUCCACCACCGUACUACUACCAUUCUCCACCUCCUCCAGUCAAGUCUCCACCACCACCGUACUACUAUCAUUCACCACCUCCUCCGGUGAAAUCUCCACCACCACCAUACUAUUACCACUCACCACCCCCACCUGUGAAAUCUCCUCCUCCACCAUACUACUAUCACUCACCUCCUCCUCCGGUGAAAUCUCCACCACCACCAUACUAUUACCAUUCACCACCCCCUCCAGUCAAAUCUCCUCCUCCACCAUACUACUACCACUCACCACCUCCUCCAGUGAAAUCUCCACCACCACCAUACUAUUACAACUCUCCACCACCACCGGUGAAAUCUCCUCCACCUCCAGUCUACAUCUACGCUUCUCCCCCACCUCCCACCCAUUACUAGGCUCAUCAAAUUCAACCAAAUUUCCCCAUUAUUCAAGUAAGUCCCCACGGUCCAAAACGUUCAAGUUACUCUUUAUCACCCACUUCAAUAUUACUUUGUCCUAAAAUCUCAGUUUCUUUCUUCACAGGUUUUCUUUUAAAAAAUGGAAUAAAGGAAGGGUCAAUGUCAAAGAGGAGAAGAAGUGAACCAAAUAAGGAUCGUCGCGUGGAAACCAGGAGUCCUACAUCACCAACAAUGAUCCACAUCACUUCCUCUUAUUCAUUGUCGCUCAUCUUCCACUUCUGCAUAAUCAUCGUCGUGUCUUCGUCAAGUCAAAUUGUUUCCAAGACCCCUUUAGAUCGUUUCAUA
Molecule: long non-coding RNA, 1025 nt
Filed under: Eutrema salsugineum
Lineage: Eukaryota; Viridiplantae; Streptophyta; Magnoliopsida; Brassicales; Brassicaceae
Description: long non-coding RNA (ESAL_LNC001003)
Source: RNAcentral